RNAcentral lists this ribosomal RNA (1554 nucleotides) under Escherichia coli. RNAcentral's name for it is "bacterial SSU rRNA". It matches the Rfam family "Bacterial small subunit ribosomal RNA". The record is from RNAcentral. Lineage: Bacteria; Pseudomonadati; Pseudomonadota; Gammaproteobacteria; Enterobacterales; Enterobacteriaceae.
AAAUUGAAGAGUUUGAUCAUGGCUCAGAUUGAACGCUGGCGGCAGGCCUAACACAUGCAAGUCGAACGGUAACAGGAAGCAGCUUGCUGCUUUGCUGACGAGUGGCGGACGGGUGAGUAAUGUCUGGGAAACUGCCUGAUGGAGGGGGAUAACUACUGGAAACGGUAGCUAAUACCGCAUAACGUCGCAAGACCAAAGAGGGGGACCUUCGGGCCUCUUGCCAUCGGAUGUGCCCAGAUGGGAUUAGCUAGUAGGUGGGGUAAAGGCUCACCUAGGCGACGAUCCCUAGCUGGUCUGAGAGGAUGACCAGCCACACUGGAACUGAGACACGGUCCAGACUCCUACGGGAGGCAGCAGUGGGGAAUAUUGCACAAUGGGCGCAAGCCUGAUGCAGCCAUGCCGCGUGUAUGAAGAAGGCCUUCGGGUUGUAAAGUACUUUCAGCGGGGAGGAAGGGAGUAAAGUUAAUACCUUUGCUCAUUGACGUUACCCGCAGAAGAAGCACCGGCUAACUCCGUGCCAGCAGCCGCGGUAAUACGGAGGGUGCAAGCGUUAAUCGGAAUUACUGGGCGUAAAGCGCACGCAGGCGGUUUGUUAAGUCAGAUGUGAAAUCCCCGGGCUCAACCUGGGAACUGCAUCUGAUACUGGCAAGCUUGAGUCUCGUAGAGGGGGGUAGAAUUCCAGGUGUAGCGGUGAAAUGCGUAGAGAUCUGGAGGAAUACCGGUGGCGAAGGCGGCCCCCUGGACGAAGACUGACGCUCAGGUGCGAAAGCGUGGGGAGCAAACAGGAUUAGAUACCCUGGUAGUCCACGCCGUAAACGAUGUCGACUUGGAGGUUGUGCCCUUGAGGCGUGGCUUCCGGAGCUAACGCGUUAAGUCGACCGCCUGGGGAGUACGGCCGCAAGGUUAAAACUCAAAUGAAUUGACGGGGGCCCGCACAAGCGGUGGAGCAUGUGGUUUAAUUCGAUGCAACGCGAAGAACCUUACCUGGUCUUGACAUCCACGGAAGUUUUCAGAGAUGAGAAUGUGCCUUCGGGAACCGUGAGACAGGUGCUGCAUGGCUGUCGUCAGCUCGUGUUGUGAAAUGUUGGGUUAAGUCCCGCAACGAGCGCAACCCUUAUCCUUUGUUGCCAGCGGUCCGGCCGGGAACUCAAAGGAGACUGCCAGUGAUAAACUGGAGGAAGGUGGGGAUGACGUCAAGUCAUCAUGGCCCUUACGACCAGGGCUACACACGUGCUACAAUGGCGCAUACAAAGAGAAGCGAUCUCGCGAGAGCAAGCGGACCUCAUAAAGUGCGUCGUAGUCCGGAUUGGAGUCUGCAACUCGACUCCAUGAAGUCGGAAUCGCUAGUAAUCGUGGAUCAGAAUGCCACGGUGAAUACGUUCCCGGGCCUUGUACACACCGCCCGUCACACCAUGGGAGUGGGUUGCAAAAGAAGUAGGUAGCUUAACCUUCGGGAGGGCGCUUACCACUUUGUGAUUCAUGACUGGGGUGAAGUCGUAACAAGGUAACCGUAGGGGAACCUGCGGUUGGAUCACCUCCUUACCUUAAAGAAGC